Molecule: long non-coding RNA, 471 nt
Organism: Mesocricetus auratus (golden hamster)
Lineage: Eukaryota; Metazoa; Chordata; Mammalia; Rodentia; Cricetidae
Exons: 3
Source: RefSeq, a predicted model, not a curated record
ACAGGAAUAGAGAAAGAUAAAAGCCCCAAAGCCAAAGAUGGAUGGGAUAAUUUAAGGUGCAGGGAAUAUAGCUCAACGGCAGAACACUCACCUAGUAUGCACAGCGCCCUAGGUUCAGUCAUGAAAGAAGAAAGGAGAAAACAAUGCACCACCACGUACGUCAAUUUAUGAUCUUGGAGGUCAGAAGUCUUGGUGAAAGCCUAGGAAUGACCCAACUGCAGCCUCAAGGAUUUUUCACCAGAAGAGAUGUCGUGAGAAUCACAGUUCCCAAGAUCCAGCUGCAGUUUUCCUUGGUUACCUCGAAACUAACUCCCUGCCCAGCAUAAUCACUGCUUUGUUUAGUUACACCUCUGCCCUCUGUUGCUGUCAUCACAUUGUCAUGCCCCUGACUCUUCGUCCUCCUUCUCUCCACCAUGAGAGUCCCAGUGAUUCUAUAAGACCGACUCGGGAUGAACCAUGACCUCCUUCCAA